CACUACCCAAAGUAAUAUACAUAUUCAAGUGACUAAAUAACACCUAUGUACAUGCCACAUUUACCCAAAAGAAAAAUAUACAUCACCAAGUUUGUGUUGGAGUCGGGAUUGUUCUGGAUGCUGAGCCGGGAUACUUGACUUCAACUAACCUGCGCACGGAAACAACCGUACGCUGAGUAUGGAUAUACUCAGUGGUAUUACUAUAAAUCAAGACUAUUUAACAUUAAUAAAUUACAAACAUCAACCAUAAAUUUUAUAAUUAUUUAAACUACUUUUAUAUAAAAUUAUUUUACUUCAUAAAUCUUAAAUUCAUAAUUUAUUUUUCUCAUACUAACUCAAUUCAUAAUUUAGUUCAUACAUUCUUUCUUGUACUUUUCAAUAGUGCUAAAACAAAUAAUCUCAUUUUCAAAAUUUCAUUUCAAUUAUUUACCCUAUUAACAAAGCUCGGACUAUGACAGAUACGCGGAUUCCAUCCAAACACACCAGAAUGUCCAACCCAAACACACCCGGAAUAUUGUAAAUCCUCCAUAACACACCGGUAUAAUAUAUCCUCCCAAACACACCAAUAAGGCAUUAAAUGCCUAUUCGGAUAAACCGAAGUAUAUAAUAACAGAAACAUCCUCUCGGCCGAACUACAAUCUCUUCAUCACAUCACAAAUCCAAUGGCAUGCCAUUUGUAUCGGAUCUAGUCCGACAAGUUAAUAGGGUAUUAUUUUUUUUUUUUUUCUAAUUUCAAUUUCAUUUACACAAAAAUUUUCAAUACUCAUUCAAUUCAAAUAUCUAUUAUCUUAAUUCAUACACAAAUUAAUUUUCACACAAGUGUAUACCAUCAACACCAUACAUUUGUCACAAUUUAUUUAUUUUCAAUCAAUACACUUUUCAAAUAAUCACCUAUUCCAUAAUUCACUUAUUCAAUUCAAUUUGAUUCAAUUUAUAUCACUUUCAUUUUCACUCAAUAUUCAUAUCGAUUUCACAUACUUACCUCAAGUCUUAUUUACCAUACAUAACAAUUAAAAUUUCAGCAAUCAAUAAUAAUUAAAAUUUGAAUUAUAGUAAUACACACCGUAAUUCUCCCGUGUUAGUCCUCGAUGACUUUCUCCUUUCCUUUCGAUGCUGAUGCUUCCGGUUCUUUGUUGGCUACGAAAAUAAUAGUAAUUUACAUUAUUAUUUACAGCAUUAAUUAUAAUAAAUAAUUAAAUUUCUAAACAACUCCUACCUUAUUCCCAAUUUAAUCCUAACUAAACUUAAUUAUUUUCUUAAUCCAAUUCACUCUCUUUUUCUAUUCAAAUUUUGUCUAAACUUAUAUUUAACUAUAAAAUUUCCAGCAUAUUUCCUUAAUUUCUAAAUUUCUUCAAUUUAGUCCCUACAACAUAAAACUUAUAGCCUAGUUUACAAUUUAAUCCCUUAAUCAAUUCUAAAUUAGAAUUCAUUCAAUUAAAUCCCUAAUUCCAUAAUUUUUCCAAAAUGAACCCUACUUGGAAACAUAUGAAAUCUUGAACUAUCAACUUAAUUUCAUCAAAAUCUUGUUUCAAAGCUCCUAAAACAUCAAAAUUAACUAAAAAGGACUUAAUUGACUUACCAAAUUAACUCCAAGCUUCAAAUCCUUAGUUUUCUCUUUUAUUUUUCUUUCCCUUUUUCUUUCUCUUUUUC
Molecule: long non-coding RNA, 1650 nt
Filed under: Gossypium barbadense (sea-island cotton)
Lineage: Eukaryota; Viridiplantae; Streptophyta; Magnoliopsida; Malvales; Malvaceae
Description: long non-coding RNA (GBAR_LNC004928)
Source: RNAcentral